Clostridium sp. BL8 is the source of this 124-nucleotide non-coding RNA. NCBI's taxonomy places the organism in Bacteria, Bacillati, Bacillota, Clostridia, Eubacteriales, Clostridiaceae. The record is from Rfam.
UCCACCGUGAGGUGGAAUCUGAAGGAAGCCAGCGGCAAAACUCUGGUCUGACGUACAGAAAUCACAUAUAAGGCUUACUUAAAUCGGGUGAGUUUGCUGAACAAAACAAAGCCCAAUGCUAUCC